UUCAAAUGAACAAAUAGGGACACUUUAAUCUAGGGGUGUGAGUGGAGCUGUUUUGAGAAAUGUUGAGGUGACUUACUAAUAACAAUGCAUUAUUGUGUGUGUGUGUGUGUGUGUGUGUGUGUGUGCGUGCGUUCGUGAUCCAUUGUGGAU
Molecule: non-coding RNA, 150 nt
Organism: Pelobates cultripes (western spadefoot toad)
Lineage: Eukaryota; Metazoa; Chordata; Amphibia; Anura; Pelobatidae
Source: the annotation of a GenBank genome assembly